GUGCCAGCAGCCGCGGUGAUACGUAGGGUGCGAGCGUUGUCCGGAAUUAUUGGGCGUAAAGAGCUUGUAGGCGGUUUGUCGCGUCGAUAGUGUAAACACGCAGCUUAACUGUGUGCCUGCUGUCGAUACGGGCUGACUAGAGGAGGGUAGGGGAGAAUGGAAUUCCCGGUGGAGCGGUGGAAUGCGCAGAUAUCGGGAGGAACACCAGUGGCGAAGGCGGUUCUCUGGACCUUUCCUGACGCUGAGAAGCGAAAGCGUGGGUAGCAAACAGGCUUAGAUACCCUUGUAGUCC
RNAcentral lists this ribosomal RNA (292 nucleotides) under uncultured Actinomycetes bacterium. Its description in RNAcentral is "uncultured actinobacterium partial 16S ribosomal RNA". It matches the Rfam family "Bacterial small subunit ribosomal RNA", at positions 505 to 796 of the family's 1533-position model. Lineage: Bacteria; Bacillati; Actinomycetota; Actinomycetes. The record is from RNAcentral.